AGUGAACGCUGGCGGCGUGCCUAAUACAUGCAAGUCGAACGGAGUGGCGCACGGGUGAGUAAUAUAUAGCUAAUCUGACCCUUGCUGGAGGACAACAGUUAGAACUGACUGCUAAUACUCCAUAGAAAGGGAUGAGACUAUAUCGUAUCAGCUAGUCGGUGGGGUAACGGCGGACCUAGGCUAUGACGCGUAACUGGUCUGAGAGGAUGAUCAGUCACAUUCGACCGGAGGCACGGUCCAAAAUCCUACGGGAGGCAGCAGUAGGGAAUAUUGCGCAAUGCGGGAAACCCUGACGGAGCAACGCCGCGUGGAGGAUGACACUUUUCGGAUCGUAAGCUCCUUUUGUUAGGGAAGCGGUACCUAACGAAUAAGCACCGGCUAACUCCGUGCCAGCAGCCGCGGUAAUUC
RNAcentral lists this ribosomal RNA (408 nucleotides) under uncultured bacterium. RNAcentral describes it as "partial 16S ribosomal RNA". It matches the Rfam family "Bacterial small subunit ribosomal RNA", at positions 29 to 526 of the family's 1533-position model. The record is from RNAcentral.